This 409-nucleotide ribosomal RNA is filed under the name Actinomycetes bacterium. RNAcentral describes it as "Actinobacteria bacterium partial 16S ribosomal RNA". It matches the Rfam family "Bacterial small subunit ribosomal RNA", at positions 355 to 776 of the family's 1533-position model. The record is from RNAcentral. Lineage: Bacteria; Bacillati; Actinomycetota; Actinomycetes.
UGGGGAAUAUUGCACAAUGGGCGGAAGCCUGAUGCAGCGACGCCGCGUGGGGGAUGAAGGCCUUCGGGUUGUAAACUCCUUUCGACAGGGACGAAGCUUUUGUGACGGUACCUGUAUAAGAAGCACCGGCUAACUACGUGCCAGCAGCCGCGGUAAUACGUAGGGUGCGAGCGUUGUCCGGAAUUACUGGGCGUAAAGAGCUCGUAGGUGGUUUGUCGCGUCGUCUGUGAAAUUCCGGGGCUUAACUCCGGGCGUGCAGGCGAUACGGGCUGACUUGAGUGCUGUAGGGGCGACUGGAAUUCCUGGUGUAGCGGUGAAAUGCGCAGAUAUCAGGAGGAACACCGAUGGCGAAGGCAGGUCUCUGGGCAGUAACUGACGCUGAGGAGCGAAAGCAUGGGUAGCGAACAGG